Molecule: ribosomal RNA, 475 nt
Filed under: uncultured organism
Description: partial 16S ribosomal RNA
Rfam family: Bacterial small subunit ribosomal RNA
Source: RNAcentral
CGUACACUCCUGCGGGAGGCAGCAGUGGGGAAUAUUGCACAAUGGGCGCAAGCCUGAUGCAGCCAUGCCGCGUGUAUGAAGAAGGCCUUCGGGUUGUAAAGUACUUUCAGCGGGGAGGAAGGCAAUACGGUUAAUAACCGUGUUGAUUGACGUUACCCGCAGAAGAAGCACCGGCUAACUCCGUGCCAGCAGCCGCGGUAAUACGGAGGGUACAAGCGUUAAUCGGAAUUACUGGGCGUAAAGCGCACGCAGGCGGUCUGUCAAGUCGGAUGUGAAAUCCCCGGGCUCAACCUGGGAACUGCAAUCGAAACUGGCAGGCUUGAGUCUUGUAGAGGGAGGUAGAAUUCCAGGUGUAGCGGUGAAAUGCGUAGAGAUCUGGAGGAAUACCGGUGGCGAAGGCAGCCCCCUGUACAAAGACUGACGCUCAGGUGCGAAAGCGUGGGGAGCAAACAGGAUUAGAAACCCGAGUAGUCCC